Molecule: ribosomal RNA, 484 nt
Filed under: uncultured bacterium
Lineage: Bacteria
Description: partial 16S ribosomal RNA
Rfam family: Bacterial small subunit ribosomal RNA
Source: RNAcentral
AUUGAACGCUGGCGGCAGGCUUAACACAUGCAAGUCGAGCGGAUGAAGGGAGCUUGCUCCUGGAUUCAGCGGCGGACGGGUGAGUAAUGCCUAGGAAUCUGCUUGGUAGUGGGGGAUAACGUCCGGAAACGGGCGCUAAUACCGCCUACGUCCUGAGGGAGAAAGUGGGGGAUCUUCGGACCUCACGCUAUCAGAUGAGCCUAGGUCGGAUUAGCUAGUUGGUGGGGUAAAGGCCUACCAAGCCGACGAUCCGUAACUGGUCUGAGAGGAUGAUCAGUCACACGGGAACUGAGACACGGUCCAGGCUCCUACGGGAGGCAGCAGUGGGGAAUAUUGGACAGUGGGCGAAAGCCUGGUCCAACCAUGCCGCGUGUGUGAAGAAGGUCUUCGGAUUGUAAAGCACUUUAAGUUGGGAGGAAGGGCAGUAAGUUAAUACCUUGCUGUUUUGACGUUACCAACAGAAUAAGCACCGGCUAACUUCGUG